AAACGAAUAUGAUGAAAACAAUGUGCGGGUGAUGAUUACAAGUUAAUUGUAGUUUCACAUGAUCAAAAUUCUACUUGCUACGUUCUUUCUGAUUCUUGU
Morus notabilis is the source of this 99-nucleotide non-coding RNA. Lineage: Eukaryota; Viridiplantae; Streptophyta; Magnoliopsida; Rosales; Moraceae. The record is from Rfam.